Molecule: RNA transcript, 780 nt
Organism: Prunus dulcis (almond)
Lineage: Eukaryota; Viridiplantae; Streptophyta; Magnoliopsida; Rosales; Rosaceae
Exons: 4
Source: RefSeq, a predicted model, not a curated record
UAGGCCCAGAGAGAGAGAGAGAGAGCUUGGGCGUGAGUGAGAGGGAGCAAACUGGAGGAACAGCACACCAGAUCAGGAUCAAUUCAGAAGGAAGAGGAGCAUGUCAGCGAUACAGAGAGCGAUCCGGAGGUUCCACGCUACCGUGAAUGCUCCAAGGCUCACCAGAUUGUCUCUCCAUGUGCCUAGAUGUGUAGAGGUGGAGUUUGGAAAUGGUAGUGUGUUCAAUUUGUCAGCUGAAUUCUUAAGAAUACACAGUCCAGCUGUUGAUGCCAAGGUUAGGUCAAUUGCUGGUGAAAAGAAACUUGGUUUCCACUCAUCUAUCAAUCGACACAGGUGAUAUCUGGGCGGCGUCACGUUGGAAUUAUGUCUGCAGAACCUGUAGGAAACUAUGGGGAUUGUCUUCGAUGACUUGCAUAACACCGGCAUCUAUUCCUGGGAUUACUUAUAUCAUCUGGGCAGCAACAAAUUCAGCCUCAUGAGAAAUUACAUCAAAACACUCAACAAGUAUGGACUCAAGCGGGAUCCGCCUAGAAGAAAAUGAAUGAUUCAGGCACUGCUCCAUUUCACUUGACCGUCCGUCAUCUGCAACAGGAGCAUGGCAGGAUAAUAUGUGGCACACAUUGGUUUUCUACUUCAUUUCUUAGACCAAAUGCUUAGGGAGCCAAAUUCAACAUCUUUGCCAUUUGUUGUUUGUUUACACCGUAAGCUAUCUAUUCUUGCGACUGUAAUGUACAUGUAAACCAGUUGGCCGGAUAUACAUCAAUCGUUGUGCUGAUUGAA